AACGCACCUUGCGCCUCUUGGUAUUCCGAGAGGCAUGCCUGUUUGAGUGUCAUGAAAUCUCAAUCCCCGAGGGUUUUUUGAAUCAGCGGUGGACUUGGACCUGGGUGUCUGCCUGACAAGGCUCACCUCAAAUGACUUAGUGGGACUCUCUUGAACCUACGCCUGACGUGAUAAGUUUCGUCUUGGCUGGUCUUGAGGCCUGCUCAGAACUCCCAAUCUUUUUGACAUUUGACCUCAAAUCAGGUAGGGCUACCCGCUGAACUUAA
RNAcentral lists this unclassified non-coding RNA (266 nucleotides) under uncultured fungus. Its description in RNAcentral is "partial contains 5.8S ribosomal RNA, internal transcribed spacer 2, and large subunit ribosomal RNA". The stretch from base 1 to 52 matches the Rfam family "5.8S ribosomal RNA", at positions 103 to 154 of the family's 154-position model. Lineage: Eukaryota; Fungi. The record is from RNAcentral.